GACGAACGCUGGCGGCGUGCUUAACACAUGCAAGUCGAACGGUAAGGCCCUUCGGGGUACACGAGUGGCGAACGGGUGAGUAACGCGUGGGUGAUCUGCCCUGCACUUCGGGAUAAGCCUGGGAAACUGGGUCUAAUACCGGAUAGGACCACUGCCUGCAUGGGUGGUGGUGGAAAGCUUUUGCGGUGUGGGAUGGGCCCGCGGCCUAUCAGCUUGUUGGUGGGGUGAUGGCCUACCAAGGCGACGACGGGUAGCCGGCCCGAGAGGGUGACCGGCCACACUGGGACUGAGAUACGGCCCAGACUCCUACGGGAGGCAGCAGUGGGGAAUAUUGCACAAUGGGCGCAAGCCUGAUGCAGCGACGCCGCGUGAGGGAUGACGGCCUUCGGGUUGUAAACCUCUUUCAGCACCGACGAAGCGCAAGUGACGGUAGGUGCAGAAGAAGGACCGGCCAACUACGUGCCAGCCGCCGCAGUAA
Molecule: ribosomal RNA, 478 nt
Filed under: uncultured bacterium
Lineage: Bacteria
Description: partial 16S ribosomal RNA
Rfam family: Bacterial small subunit ribosomal RNA
Source: RNAcentral